Molecule: small RNA, 843 nt
Filed under: Pan troglodytes (chimpanzee)
Lineage: Eukaryota; Metazoa; Chordata; Mammalia; Primates; Hominidae
Description: processed transcript
Source: RNAcentral
CACGUUUUUCCAAGGCUCCCUGGAGACUCUGUACCACUCCCGCUUCCUGGGCCGAGCCCAGCUACACAGCAACCUCAGCCUGGAGCUUGGGCCACUGGAGUCUGGAGACAGCGGCAACUUCUCCGUGUUGAUGGUGGACACAAGGGGCCAGCCCUGGACCCAGACCCUCCAGCUCAAGGUGUACGAUGCAGUGCCCAGGCCCGUGGUACAAGUGUUCAUUGCUGUAGAAAGGGAUGCUCAGCCCUCCAAGACCUGCCAGGUUUUCUUGUCCUGUUGGGCCCCCAACAUCAGCGAAAUAACCUAUAGCUGGCGACGGGAGACAACCAUGGACUUUGGUAUGGAACCACACAGCCUCUUCACAGACGGACAGGUGCUGAGCAUUUCCCUGGGACCAGGAGACAGAGAUGUGGCCUAUUCCUGCAUUGUCUCCAACCCUGUCAGCUGGGACUUGGCCACAGUCACGCCCUGGGAUAGCUGUCAUCAUGAGGCAGGUAUGCUAAGGGCCAGCAGUCAAUGGUUGAGGGCUUAUGAAGCAUCAAGUCCACCUCUAACCCCACCCCUCCAUGUUCAGCACCAGGGAAGGCCUCCUAUAAAGAUGUGCUGCUGGUGGUGGUGCCUGUCUCGCUGCUCCUGAUGCUGGUUACUCUCUUCUCUGCCUGGCACUGGUGCCCCUGCUCAGGGCCCCACCUCAGAUCAAAGCAGCUCUGGAUGAGAUGGGACCUGCAGCUCUCCCUCCACAAGGUGACUCUUAGCAACCUCAUUUCGACAGUGUUUGUAGUGUGGUGCACCAGGGCCUUGUUGAACAGAUCCACACUGCUCUAAUAAAGUUCCCAUCCUUAAUGA